UCGUAGCGCGUUUCCCGCGUCAGGCAGUACCCCAUGAA
This 38-nucleotide non-coding RNA is filed under the name Geobacter sulfurreducens PCA. The record is from RNAcentral. Lineage: Bacteria; Pseudomonadati; Thermodesulfobacteriota; Desulfuromonadia; Geobacterales; Geobacteraceae.